Molecule: long non-coding RNA, 2042 nt
Filed under: Anolis carolinensis (green anole)
Lineage: Eukaryota; Metazoa; Chordata; Lepidosauria; Squamata; Anolidae
Description: lncRNA (ENSACAG00000043355.1)
Source: RNAcentral
UGGUGCCAUGCAAAAGCAGCCAGAGCACUCACUCCUGUGGCUACUGAGCCCCUGGAAAGGCUUGGCGGUGCUCUGGAGCCUGGUUUCCACAGCGGUGGACAGCGCCCUCGUCUUCUGGCGGACUGUCUGGGCUGCUCUGCUCUUUUACAAGCUUUUCUGGGAAGUCAUCUUCCAGUUGGUGCAGGAGGGCUGCUCCUCGGUGUCUUCGUGGCUGGAGGAGGCCGGAGAGGUCACCCAGGGGGACAAGACCCUCUCCUCACCGCCAGAGAGUCCCCGGCCCUGGGAGACAGGAGCUGAGCGGCAUCUGGAGGCGCAGGUGAUGCGGCUGCAGGCGUCCAGCAACGUGGCUUUGGGCCGCCUCUCUGCCCUGGAGUCAGGAGUCCGGUACCUGAGCCAGGAGCUGCGGGCUGAGAGGCUCUUGUGGAGCAGCCGCUACCUGGAGCUCCUGCGAGAGCAGCAAGGCCUGGCUGUGCAGUUGCAAAGACAGGAGCAAAGGCUGUGGUCGUCAAACUUGGAAGGAUUGAGUGAAGCCCCCCAGGAGAUGCUGCGCCAGAGUUGGGACCCCCAUGAAGAGGAGGAGGAGGAGGAACAGGAACCAAGCCACCCCACUGUGGGACCUGGACCCAAGUGGGCUGCAAAAGAAUGACUAGCUCCAUGACGUUGCAGAGAACCAUGCCAUUGUUUGGGGAGAACAUUUCGAACGCGUCUCUCCUCUCUCAAAGUCUGGACUAAGACCAGUGGACCAAUCCAAUGAAUAAAGAAAGAGCACUGCACCAAGGUGGACCCAGACUCAAAGCAGGAGGUUCCGCGAUGGUUGUCCGUCCAUGCGCCAGGUGAGGUCCAGGCUGCAACAAACAGGACAGGGCCCAGGGGGAGCCAAAGGCACAUAGAGGAGCAUCAAACUUCACCCGGAAGGCAGAGUGGAACAAAAUUGCAAAUCUGAGUCCUGACAGAUUAGAGCAGGGGUCCCCAAACUAAGGCUCGGGGGCCGGAUGCGGCCCUCCAAGGUCAUUUACCUGGCCCCUGCCCUCAUUUAUAAUAUAAUAUUUUAUAUCAGUUUUAAUAAUAUAAUGUAUUGUAUAUACAUAUGAUAUUGAUAAUAUUAUCAUUUUAUACAGUAUAAUACUAAUAAUAAUACCAUAUAAUAAUAUUAAUUAUAUGUUAUAUAUUACAUAUAAUAUUACAGUAUAGUGGUAUAGUUCAAUAUAGUAAUAUAUAAUGCUAAUAUUGUGCUAUGCUAAUAAUAUAAUAUAUUGUAUGCACAUACAGCUGCUCUGAGUUCUCUUUGGGGUGAGAAGGGUGGGAUAUAAAUGUAGUAAAUGAAUAAAUAAAUAAUUUUGGACUUAGGCUCGCCCAAAGUCUGAAUUGACUUGAAGACACACAACAACAACAAUCCCAAUUAACUUGACUAUCUCAAUGGCCAGAAGGAGGCCCACACUUCCUAUUGAAAUCCUGAUAGGUUUAUGUUGGUUAAAAUUAUUUUCAUUUUUAAAUAUUUUAUUGGUCUUUCAUUGUUAUUGUUGUUGUUUUGGACUACAAAUAAGAUAUGUGCAGUGUGCAUAGGAAUUUGUUCAUUUUUUUUUUCAAAUGAUAAUUCGGCCUCUCAACAGUCUGAAGGAUUGUGGACCGGCCCUCUGCUUUAAAAGUUUGAGAUUAGAGAGCUGAUUGUCCUGGAAACUUGGGACUCAAUGGAGCAAUGGGUUCAACUUCCAGGAAAGGACACCCACCUGAGCUUUAAGAAGAACUUCCUGACUGCAAGAAGAAUGGUUCAGCAGUGGAACUCUCUGCCUUGGAAUGUAGUGGAGGCUUUUAAACAGAGGUUGGAUGGCCAUCUGUCGGGGGUGCUUUGAUUGUGCUUUUCCUGCAUGGCAGAAAGGGAUGGGACUAGUGGCUCAUGCUGUCUCUUCCAACUGUGAUUCCAUGACUGGAGGAAAUGUUCCCACUAUCCCAGAGUAUUCCCAUAGCUAUCCAGGCAACAGGAAAUAAAGGACAACCAAACUACGGCAGGUCUCCAGCCGUGCUUUGGACAAGCCAUUUUGGGU